UACGUAUGGUGCAAGCGUUAUCCGGAUUUACUGGGUGUAAAGGGAGCGUAGGCGGCGCGUUAAGUCUGAUGUGAAAACCCGAGGCUCAACCACGGGAGUGCAUUGGAAACUGGCGGGCUGGAGUGCCGGAGAGGUAAGCGGAAUUCCUAGUGUAGCGGUGAAAUGCGUAGAUAUUAGGAGGAACACCAGUGGCGAAGGCGGCUUACUGGACGGCAACUGGCGCUGAGGCUCGAAAGCGUGGGGAGCAAACAGG
This 253-nucleotide ribosomal RNA is filed under the name uncultured bacterium. Its description in RNAcentral is "partial 16S ribosomal RNA". It matches the Rfam family "Bacterial small subunit ribosomal RNA", at positions 524 to 776 of the family's 1533-position model. The record is from RNAcentral.